Molecule: ribosomal RNA, 916 nt
Filed under: uncultured Bacteroidota bacterium
Lineage: Bacteria; Pseudomonadati; Bacteroidota
Description: bacterial SSU rRNA
Rfam family: Bacterial small subunit ribosomal RNA
Source: RNAcentral
AGAGUUUGAUCCUGGCUCAGGAUGAACGCUAGCGGCAGGCCUAAUACAUGCAAGUCGAACGGGAUUGGGGCAGUAGCUUGCUACUGCCGCAUGAGAGUGGCGCACGGGUGCGUAACGCGUGAGCAACCUGCCCAUGUCAGGGGUAUAGCCCGUUGAAAGACGGAUUAACACCGCAUGAAGAUGGUUUCCGGCAUCGGGGACUGUCCAAAUAUUUAUAGGACAUGGAUGGGCUCGCGUGACAUUAGCUAGUUGGUGCGGUAACGGCGCACCAAGGCGACGAUGUCUAGGGGCUCUGAGAGGAGAAACCCCCACACUGGUACUGAGACACGGACCAGACUCCUACGGGAGGCAGCAGUAGGGAAUAUUGGUCAAUGGGCGGGAGCCUGAACCAGCCAUGCCGCGUGCGGGACGAAGGCCCUAUGGGUCGUAAACCGCUUUUAUACGGGAACAACCGCAGCUACGCGUAGCUGUCUGAGUGUACCGUAGGAAUAAGGAUCGGCUAACUCCGUGCCAGCAGCCGCGGUAAUACGGAGGAUCCGAGCGUUAUCCGGAAUUAUUGGGUUUAAAGGGUGCGUAGGCGGCAUUUUAAGUCAGGGGUGAAAUACAGCGGCUCAACCGUUGCAGUGCCCUUGAUACUGAAGUGCUUGAAUGUGGUCGAAGGAGGCGGAACGGGACAAGUAGCGGUGAAAUGCAUAGAUAUGUCCCAGAACCCCGAUUGCGAAGGCGGCUUCCUAGACCAUUAUUGACGCUGAUGCACGAAAGCGUGGGGAUCGAACAGGAUUAGAUACCCUGGUAGUCCACGCCCUAAACGAUGAUGACUCGAUGUUAGCGAUAUAUUGUUAGCGUCCAAGCGAAAGCGUUAAGUCAUCCACCUGGGGAGUACGGCCGCAAGGCUGAAACUCAAAGGAAUUGACGG